CUGCCUGGGAGUGGGGGACAACGCUCGGAAAGGUACGCUAAUACCGCAUACGUCCUACGGGAGAAAGCAGGGGACCUUCGGGCCUUGCGCUAUCAGAUGAGCCUAGGUCGGAUUAGCUAGUUGGUGGGGUAAUGGCUCACCAAGGCGACGAUCCGUAACUGGUCUGAGAGGAUGAUCAGUCACACUGGAACUGAGACACGGUCCAGACUCCUACGGGAGGCAGCAGUGGGGAAUAUUGGACAAUGGGCGAAAGCCUGAUCCAGCCAUGCCGCGUGUGUGAAGAAGGUCUUCGGAUUGUAAAGCACUUUAAGUUGGGAGGAAGGGCAUUAAGCUAAUACCUUGGUGUUUUGACGUUACCGACAGAAUAAGCACCGGCUAACUCUGUGCCAGCAGC
RNAcentral lists this ribosomal RNA (394 nucleotides) under uncultured bacterium. RNAcentral's name for it is "bacterial SSU rRNA". It matches the Rfam family "Bacterial small subunit ribosomal RNA", at positions 126 to 515 of the family's 1533-position model. The record is from RNAcentral.